CNAGGAGGGUCANGCGUUAUCCCGGAUUUAUUGGGUUUAAANGGGUCCGUAGGCGGGCCAAUAAGUCAGUGGUGAAAUCCUAUCGCUUAACGAUAGAACUGCCAUUGAAACUGUUGGUCUUGAAUUAUUUUGAAGUUGGCGGAAUGAGUAGUGUAGCGGUGAAAUGCAUAGAUAUUACUCAGAACACCGAUUGCGAAGGCAGCUGACUAAGAAUAUAUUGACGCUGAUGGACGAAAGCGUAGGUAGCGAACAGGAUUAGAUACCCUGGUAGUCUACGCAGUAAACGAUGGAUACUCGUUGUCGGGAAAAUUGAGACUCGGUGGCUAAGCGAAAGUGAUAAGUAUCCCACCUGGGGAGUACGAUCGCAAGAUUGAAACUCAAAGGAAUUGACGGGGGCCCGCACAAGCGGUGGAGCAUGUGGUUUAAUUCGAUGAUACGCGAGGAACCUUACCUGGGCUUAAAUGUAGAUUGACAGGACUGGAAACAGUUUUUCCUUCGGGCAAUUUACAAGGUGCUGCAUGGUUGUCGUCAGCUCGUGCCGUGAGGUGUCAGGUUAAGUCCUAUAACGAGCGCAACCCCUAUCGAUAGUUGCUAGCAGGUCAUGCUGAGGACUCUAUUGAGACUGCCGGUGCAACCGUGAGGAAGGU
This 647-nucleotide ribosomal RNA is filed under the name uncultured bacterium. Its description in RNAcentral is "bacterial SSU rRNA". It matches the Rfam family "Bacterial small subunit ribosomal RNA", at positions 525 to 1174 of the family's 1533-position model. The record is from RNAcentral.